This 127-nucleotide small RNA is filed under the name Marmota monax (woodchuck). The record is from RNAcentral. Lineage: Eukaryota; Metazoa; Chordata; Mammalia; Rodentia; Sciuridae.
GCUGGGCACAGUGGAGCAUGCCUGUGAUCCCAGCAGCUUGGGAGGCUGAGGCAGGAGGAUUGCAAGUUGAAAGCCAGCCUCAGCCACUUAGUGAGGCUCUAGGUAACUCAGUGAGACCCUGUCUCUA